CGUGUAGGCGGGAGCGUGAGUCGGUCGUGAAAGCCUUCGGCUCAACCGAAGAAGGGCGGCCGAUACUGCGUUCCUUGAGGGGUGGGGAGGAGACUGGAAUUCCCGGUGUAGCGGUGAAAUGUGUAGAGAUCGGGAGGAACACCGGUGGCGAAGGCGGGUCUCUGGCCACACCCUGACGCUGAGGCGCGAAAGCGUGGGGAGCAAACG
RNAcentral lists this ribosomal RNA (207 nucleotides) under uncultured bacterium. Its description in RNAcentral is "partial 16S ribosomal RNA". It matches the Rfam family "Bacterial small subunit ribosomal RNA", at positions 568 to 774 of the family's 1533-position model. The record is from RNAcentral.